UACGAAGGGGGGCUAGCGUUGCUCGGAAUCACUGGGCGUAAAGGGUGCGUAGGCGGGUCUUUAAGUCAGGGGUGAAAUCCUGGAGCUCAACUCCAGAACUGCCUUUGAUACUGAGGAUCUUGAGUUCGGGAGAGGUGAGUGGAACUGCGAGUGUAGAGGUGAAAUUCGUAGAUAUUCGCAAGAACACCAGUGGCGAAGGCGGCUCACUGGCCCGAUACUGACGCUGAGGCACGAAAGCGUGGGGAG
This 246-nucleotide ribosomal RNA is filed under the name uncultured bacterium. RNAcentral describes it as "partial 16S ribosomal RNA". It matches the Rfam family "Bacterial small subunit ribosomal RNA", at positions 524 to 768 of the family's 1533-position model. The record is from RNAcentral.